RNAcentral lists this long non-coding RNA (218 nucleotides) under Olea europaea (common olive). RNAcentral's name for it is "long non-coding RNA (OEUR_LNC011913)". Lineage: Eukaryota; Viridiplantae; Streptophyta; Magnoliopsida; Lamiales; Oleaceae. The record is from RNAcentral.
AGUAGAUGAAUUCUCGAGUACAACCCUUUCUUGGUAAAAAAUAUUUGCCUUUCGGUAAGAUCCGACGUAUUCACAGUGGAAAUCCAGUCGCAUGUAUCCGGACUUUUGGAAUGUGAUAAUAGUUCUUCGUCAACGUCAGCAAUAUUACCAGUAUUUGUACCAUGUAAGGGGUCGUCGUACAUCUCAUCUAAUGGUGCAGUCCCAACAUCGAAAAUUGG